GAGGGUAUAGCUCAAGUGGUAGAGCAUAUGCUUAGCAUGCACAAGGUCCUGAGUUCAAUCCCCAGUACUUCCA
Molecule: transfer RNA, 73 nt
Filed under: Camelus bactrianus (Bactrian camel)
Lineage: Eukaryota; Metazoa; Chordata; Mammalia; Artiodactyla; Camelidae
Also listed under: 2 other names
Rfam family: tRNA
About the family: Transfer RNA (tRNA) molecules are approximately 80 nucleotides in length. Their secondary structure includes four short double-helical elements and three loops (D, anti-codon, and T loops).
Source: Rfam by way of RNAcentral